GCCUCAGUAGCCCAGUGGUAGAGCGUUUGCCUAGUAUCCGUUUCCUUCGGUGAUAGCAAAAGGUCCAGUGUUCGACUCACUGUUGAGGCA
This is a transfer RNA of Puccinia graminis f. sp. tritici, 90 nucleotides long. It matches the Rfam family "tRNA". Rfam says of the family: Transfer RNA (tRNA) molecules are approximately 80 nucleotides in length. Their secondary structure includes four short double-helical elements and three loops (D, anti-codon, and T loops). Further hydrogen bonds mediate the characteristic L-shaped molecular structure. tRNAs have two regions of fundamental functional importance: the anti-codon, which is responsible for specific mRNA codon recognition, and the 3' end, to which the tRNAs corresponding amino acid is attached (by aminoacyl-tRNA synthetases). tRNAs cope with the degeneracy of the genetic code in two manners: having more than one tRNA (with a specific anti-codon) for a particular amino acid; and 'wobble' base-pairing, i.e. permitting non-standard base-pairing at the 3rd anti-codon position. The record is from Rfam. Lineage: Eukaryota; Fungi; Basidiomycota; Pucciniomycetes; Pucciniales; Pucciniaceae.